This 909-nucleotide long non-coding RNA is filed under the name Homo sapiens (human). RNAcentral describes it as "non-protein coding lnc-LMBRD1-5:13". Lineage: Eukaryota; Metazoa; Chordata; Mammalia; Primates; Hominidae. The record is from RNAcentral.
GCGCGGGCGGGUGUGUGAGAGAGAAGGCGAAGGGAGCCGCGGGGUGGGAGAGGAGGGAGUCCCGGCGGGAGGGCGGGGGAGAGGCUGGCGGGAGGGGGGCUCCACGGAGCUCCAGCCAGGGCCGCGGUUCGCCUGCACGUCACGGCUACUCAAACCCAAGCACGUCCCGAAAGCGGUAUUUUCUGCGUCUGGGAGGUUUUUGCAUCCUCAGUUCCCACCGCUGGGGCUGGCGGCGACCAACUGUAAGAGAAACUCACUGGGAGGCGAGGCAGGGGGGUGCGGAGGAUGGGAAGGCGACUCUGAAGGGUGGGAAGUGAAUGCUGGACUUGAUCGUCUUUCUCUUUCUUUCAGCGCAGACCUGUCGCAGCCAGAGAGCUGUCAUUUCAGUACCGGGAUUCAGAAUUGAUCCAGUCCGCAGCGGAGGGGGCACAUCCCAGCUACCGAGCUGCUGAGUGUCUCUGGCUGGAACAAUAGUAUUUUUUUCUCUGCGAGGCUGCAAUUAACAUCUUAUUUGUUCUGGCUCCAUACAGGCUUUGUCAGGAUCGCGGUGCGGCGACCGACGUUGGGCUCUUGCAUUGCUUUGUGCUUGGCAAUGGAAUCAUGGUUUCGGGAUAGUCAUUUUGCCUCCUGGACAGUUGGCUGACGAAGUGUCUGAUAAACCAGCUUCAGAUACAUGCUACAAAAGGUCAUUCGCCUCCUGAUUAUGUUUCUACUUGUAAACGCAGUUGGUGGUUUGCAAAACAAGUGCUAAAAUAGUGCAGUGAUGUGGUGGGAGGAAACCAUAAUGGGUAAUUCAUAUAAAGUGCUGGAAUCUUCGUAAGGGUGAGUUUCUCGAGCGGCAGGUGAAGUUGAAUAAAGCAAUUUUCCAUCAUUUGUUCCCCUCACUCUUGCAUUUUUUUCCUCCGCUUG